Non-coding RNA from Callithrix jacchus (white-tufted-ear marmoset), 618 nucleotides. The record is from RefSeq and is a predicted model, not a curated record. NCBI's taxonomy places the organism in Eukaryota, Metazoa, Chordata, Mammalia, Primates, Cebidae.
UGAAAGUAACCUACUUAUUGGGCAUAACCUACUUAAUGGGAUUAACUUACUUACUGAGUGUAACUUAGUGGGCGUAACUUGCUUACUGUAACUUAAGUACGUUGAUCUGGUGUAAACAACUUUGACUUCAGAAAAGUAUAUAAGGAAACAUAUUGCAAAAAUAAAAUUGCUGCUUGGACAUAGCCUAAGCCAGCCCUCCAGACUCCGCUUUUCUAUUUUCUUUCACUUCUGCGUACUCUCUUCCUCAGGUUGAACGAGACAUCUACGUUGGCAGUCUUGGGGACUCCUGCAGACAUAGUGUUCCCCCGCUCUGGAGGAUGCAGCCCUCAACGUGCCAUGUUGGAGGCAGAGAAACUGGACCCUGACCUACUGGUGCUUGACCUUGGACUUCCCAGCCUCCAGAACUGCAAGAAAUAAAUUUCUGUUCUUUAUAAAUGAUCCAAUCUGUGGUAUUCUGCUAUAGCAGCACAAAACAGACUAAGACAGGCAUCAAGAUUAUUCUUGCUGCAUAGAUGAGUUGGGAAAUAGUCUAUCUUCUAUUUUCUGGAUGCUAUUUUUGUAAUAUUAGCAUAAUCUGCUGUUUUAAUGUUCAGUAGAACUUGCCCAGAAAACCGUAUG